Molecule: ribosomal RNA, 440 nt
Filed under: uncultured bacterium
Lineage: Bacteria
Description: partial 16S ribosomal RNA
Rfam family: Bacterial small subunit ribosomal RNA
Source: RNAcentral
CCUACGGGAGGCUGCAGUGGGGGAUAUUGCACAAUGGGGGGAACCCUGAUGCAGCGACGCCGCGUGGGUGAAGAAGCGCCUCGGCGCGUAAAGCCCUGUCAGCAGGGAAGAAAAUGACGGUACCUGAAGAAGAAGCCCCGGCUAACUACGUGCCAGCAGCCGCGGGAAUACGUAGGGGGCAAGCGUUAGCCGGAUUUACUGGGUGUAAAGGGGGCGCAGACGGCGAUGCAAGCCAGGAGGGAAAGCCCGGGGCCGAACCCCGGGACUGCUCUUGGAACUGCGUGGCUGGAGUGCAGGAGGGGCAGGCGGAAUUCCUGGUGUAGCGGUGAAAUGCGUAGAUAUCAGGAGGAACACCGGUGGCGAAGGAGGCCUGCUGGACUGCAACUGACGUUGAGGCCCGAAAGCGUGGGGAGCAAACAGGAUUAGAUACCCUGGUAGUC